RNAcentral lists this ribosomal RNA (484 nucleotides) under uncultured Sphingobacteriales bacterium. Its description in RNAcentral is "bacterial SSU rRNA". It matches the Rfam family "Bacterial small subunit ribosomal RNA", at positions 894 to 1382 of the family's 1533-position model. The record is from RNAcentral. Lineage: Bacteria; Pseudomonadati; Bacteroidota; Sphingobacteriia; Sphingobacteriales.
CAGAAACUCAAAGGAAUUGACGGGGCCCGCACAAGCGGUGGAGCAUGUGGUUUAAUUCGAUGAUACGCGAGGAACUUACCUGGGCUCAAAUGUAUGUUGACGUAUUCUGAAAGGGAUACUUCUUCGGACAAUAUACAAGGUGCUGCAUGGUUGUCGUCAGCUCGUGCCGUGAGGUGUCGGGUUAAGUCCCAUAACGAGCGCAACCCCUAUCAUUAGUUGCCAUCAGGUCAAGCUGGGGACUCUAAUGAAACUGCCUACGCAAGUAGUGAGGAAGGUGGGGAUGACGUCAAAUCAGCACGGCCCUUACGUCCAGGGCUACACACGUGCUACAAUGGCCGGUACAAAGGGCAGCUACCUGGUGACAGGAUGCUAAUCUCAAAAGCCGGUCUCAGUUCGGAUCGGAGUCUGCAACCCGACUCCGUGAAGUUGGAUUCGCUAGUAAUCGCGCAUCAGCCAUGGCGCGGUGAAUACGUUCCCGGGCCUU